Long non-coding RNA from Canis lupus familiaris (dog), 473 nucleotides. RefSeq lists it as uncharacterized. Lineage: Eukaryota; Metazoa; Chordata; Mammalia; Carnivora; Canidae. The transcript has 3 exons. The record is from RefSeq and is a predicted model, not a curated record.
UGCGCGCAGGGACGGCCGGAGGCCCGGUGGCCGACGAGUGCGCAGGCGCCGGGGCGGAAGCCCGAAGACCGAAGGGGGAGGUGGGAGGUCUCUCCCGGCGGCCCCGGCGGCCAUGUUGGGCGCUCUGGGUCUGAGGCAACCGUGGAAGUGCUAGAGAGGACUCUCGAAUGUGCUCGGUAGAUGUGGCAAGGAGUGAGGGAAGCGUGCUACUAAAUCUCCUGUGACCUGAGUGCAACCACGCAACAAUCCUUAAAAAAAAAAAAAAAAAAAAAACACGACGUCCUAUAGUCAUUUAUGAGUUAAUCGUCUGGAUUUCGGCUUUUGCUAAGUUUCUGAGAUUUAAAACUCGGCUGGACCCAAAGAAAAGCUCACUUAAUGUCAAGAUCCAUGUGAUUGCGAGAUUCCAGAAUAUUUUUUAGUCACACACAGAGAGAGGCAGAGACACAGGCAGAGGGAGAAGCAGGCUCCAUGCA